This 253-nucleotide ribosomal RNA is filed under the name uncultured bacterium. RNAcentral's name for it is "partial 16S ribosomal RNA". It matches the Rfam family "Bacterial small subunit ribosomal RNA", at positions 524 to 776 of the family's 1533-position model. The record is from RNAcentral.
AACGUAGGAGGCGAGCGUUAUCCGGAUUUACUGGGUGUAAAGCGUGUGCAGGCGGUACGGCAAGUUGGAUGUGAAAGCUCCUGGCUUAACUGGGAGAGGUCGUUCAAAACUGCCGAACUAGAGUGUGGGAGAGGGAGGUGGAAUUCCGGGUGUAGUGGUGAAAUGCGUAGAUAUCUGGAGGAACACCGGUGGCGAAGGCGGCAUCCUGGACCGAUAUUGACGCUGAGGAGCGAAAGCCAGGGGAGCAAACGGG